GAAAAUCGCAUGUACCAUGCAUCCGAAAUUCUUGAAAUAAGCAAUAGACAGGGACAUAAUAGAAUUAGCCGAAAUCAAGCUUUGUCAUCCUCUCAAAUACAUACCGAUGAAGGAUAUAACGGUGUCAGCGCAACAGAAUCAGCAAUACAAACUAGACAUACUCGUAGAGCUAAAUUGUCUCAAGGUGUCGACUCACAGACCAAUGGAAGAAACAUGCAGUACGCUGAGGUUUCGUUUGAUGUCAAACAUCCAACACAUCGUUUUAUUAUUCAUGGCAAUGAUGAUAGAACAGUUUAUUCAGAAAUUGAUCAUUCAAUCAGAGCAGAGCCUUUACCGUCGUCAAGUAGUGAAGGUGAAGAUAACUGAAUGUAUUUUGGCGGCAGUAAUGACUUUCCUCCAUAGUGCAGUGCAUAGUUAAGGAUAUAACAUUAUUCCUGUGAUCGUUGGUAAAAGAAUAAAGAGAACCUUCAGCAAAUCAAAACAAAACACGUUUUUAUUAUUUGUGUUAUUUACUACUUAACUAUAACAAUUCAUGAAAACAUUGGAUUAUUUGUUAUGUACAGAUAGUGGACAUAUUGUUGAAACAUUUUUCCUCAUUUGUCUCUUUAUGUACACUAGGUUUUUUGGCUCUUCUGGUUAUAUUUGACAUAUAAAUUGUGCUUAAAAGAAAAGAAAAAAGAUAUUUCCACUGGACAUCUUAAGCAUCAUGAAGGGGCCCGAGUGGUCUAGGUAAUCCAACUCUUGUAUCACUGAGAAUGUUUGUUUAUUGAACUAGGAUUGUCGUUGUCCUGCCGAUUGUCUCUCCUGACAUUCCUGCGUUCUCAGUCGAUAGAACUUAACCUCCACGAAAAAGCAAAUAGUGCUGAAAGUGGUGUUACACACCAAGCAAUCAAUAAAUCAAUCAAUCAGUAAAAGAAAACUUAUUUUGAAAAUGCAAAAGAAACAUACCUUGACUUGAAUGUAACUUAAGACCUAUUUCAGUUUGCUUGGCUGAAAUUAUUGUUUAAAGCAUAAACAUGGUUAUAUGGUGUGUAAUUUUGACAAUAUAUAUAUAUAUAUAUAUAUAUAUAUAUAUAUAUAUAUACACGUAUACCUAACAACAAAAUUAUUUUCAUUUACCUGUUUUUAAAGUUUUUGCAAAUGGCUGAUAUUUUUGUUCGAGCAUAUUGUUUUUCUUUAAUUGUUUAACAUUUCUUACUGAUAUAACAUGUUACUUUUAUUAUUCCUCCCUUAGUUUAUUUAUUUUGUAUUUACAUUGUGUCAUAGGUCAAAUUUAUUUGUUCAGUGUAUGUUCAAUGGUGUUAAUAUGUCCUUUGAUUGAGUUAAGCUAUUUCAGUUGAUAUUUUAUAGUGUGUCUUUCUAUGUUUCGAUGUUACACUAUUGUUUCAGAUAAAGGGUGAAGGUUUGGUACCAUUAAAACGUUUAAACCCGCUGCAUUUGUUUGCACCUGUCCUAAGUCAGGAAUCUGAUGUUCAUUAGUUGUCGUUUGUUGAUGUGGUUCAUAAGUGUUUCUCGUUUCUCGUUUUUGUUUAGAUUAGACCGUUGGUUUUCCCGUUUGAAUGGUUUUACACUAGUAAUUUUUUGGGUCCCUUUAUAGCUUACUGUUCGGUGUGAGGCAAGGCUCCGUGUUGAAGACCGUACUGUGACCUAUAAUGGUUAACUUUUAUAAAUUUUGACUUGGAUGGAGAGUUGUCUCAUUGGCACUCAUACCACAUCUUCUUAUAUCUAUAUAUAUCUAUACUGUAGCACUUAACGUAUCAAUCACUAUCCCAAUGUUGGAUAAACCCUACAAAUAAUAACAUAAUUUGAACAAAUUGUAUAUCUAAGAUAAGAAAUCAAAACAUUUCCAGAUAUACCAUUUUUCUCCCUCAAUAAGGUCUUGGGUUCUCUUUGGUUUCUCUAGUAUUCCCCGCCUUCUAUAAAGUUGCACCCUGAUAUAACUAAACGUUCCUUCCGUUUCUAUUUCACGUAUUCGUUACAUGACAAGUAUCCCAAAACAAAGAAAAGAUGAGAUAUACAUAGAAAGAUUAAUCUAACAUGUCUUUCAAGAUAUUACACAGGUGUUGUUUGUAUAAAAUAUGCUGUAAAUAAAUAAUUUUCGAUAA
Mytilus californianus (California mussel) is the source of this 2105-nucleotide long non-coding RNA. RefSeq lists it as uncharacterized. The record is from RefSeq and is a predicted model, not a curated record. The transcript is spliced from 3 exons. Lineage: Eukaryota; Metazoa; Mollusca; Bivalvia; Mytilida; Mytilidae.